CUUCACGUCCUCGAUGACGGUCUGGUAGACGCCGGCGUAGGAGGAGUCCGGGAUCACCGCGAGGGUGUCGUCCUCGCCGCCAUCGGCACCCCAGAGCUUGCCGCCGUUGCGGACCAGCGCCGGGAUCGAGGCGUCGAUGAUCACGUCGGAGGGCACGUGCAGGU
This 164-nucleotide ribosomal RNA is filed under the name uncultured eukaryote. RNAcentral describes it as "partial small subunit ribosomal RNA". The record is from RNAcentral.